This 279-nucleotide ribosomal RNA is filed under the name uncultured bacterium. RNAcentral's name for it is "partial 16S ribosomal RNA". It matches the Rfam family "Bacterial small subunit ribosomal RNA", at positions 506 to 784 of the family's 1533-position model. The record is from RNAcentral.
UGCCAGCCGCCGCGGUAAUACGGAGGGUGCAAGCGUUGUUCGGAUUUAUUGGGCGUAAAGCGCGCGCAGGCGGACUAGCAAGUCAGAUGUGAAAUCUCGGGGCUCAACCUCGAAACUGCGUCUGAAACUGUUAGUCUAGAAUCUCAGAGGGGGAAGGGGAAUUUCACGUGUAGGGGUAAAAUCCGUAGAGAUGUGAAGGAACACCGGUGGCGAAGGCGCCUUCCUGGAUGAGUAUUGACGCUGAGGCGCGAAAGCGUGGGGAGCAAACAGGAUUAGAUA